CACCCGUUGUCAUUGUAAUCUCACUUCUACGACUUUUUUGUUGUUUGAAUGUGGACUUUUACGUUGCCGUUUUAUCACGGCUCGUCUUAAAUGCCUGAGUGUACCCUGGUUUGCAGCGUAUCCAGUGUAAUAAGCAUUUCACUAGAGUUGGUCGAAAGACCGCGUUGCCUAUAUGGGCUCUAUGCUUCAAACCGUCUACCAUGUGGACAAUCUCUUGACAAUUUGACCUCAAAUCGGGUGGGACUACCCGCUGAACUUAAGCAUAUCAAUAAGCGGAGGAAAAGAAACUAACAAGGAUUCCCCUAGUAACGGCGAGUGAAGAGGGAAAAGCUCAAAUUUUGAAUCUGGUGUCUUUGACUCGCGAGUUGUAAUCUAGAGAAGUGUUUUCCGUGUCGGACCGUGUACAAGUUCCCUGGAACGGGGCGUCAUAGAGGGUGAGAAUCCCGUAUAUGCCACGGACUACCGAUGCUCUGUGAUACACUCUCAACGAGUCGAGUUGUUUGGGAAUGCAGCUCAAAAUGGGUGGUAAAUUCCAUCUAAAGCUAAAUAUUGGCGAGAGACCGAUAGCGAACAAGUACCGUGAGGGAAAGAUGAAAAGCACUUUGGAAAGAGAGAGAAACAGUACGUGAAAUUGUUGAAAGGGAAGCGUUUGAAGACAGUCGCAUCUGUUGGGGUUCAGCCUGGCUUUUGCCUGGUGUAUUUCCUUUCCGAUGGGUCAGCAUCAGUUUCGACCGAGGGAAAAAAGACAUUUGGAAUGUGGCUGUCUUCGGGCAGUGUUAUAGCCUUGUGUUGUAUGUCUCGGUUGGUACUGAAGAUUUGCAGCGCGCCAUAAAUGGCCGGGGGUCGGUCCUCUCGACACG
This 860-nucleotide ribosomal RNA is filed under the name uncultured Sebacinales. RNAcentral's name for it is "eukaryotic LSU rRNA". The stretch from base 224 to 860 matches the Rfam family "Eukaryotic large subunit ribosomal RNA", at positions 1 to 609 of the family's 3401-position model. The record is from RNAcentral. Lineage: Eukaryota; Fungi; Basidiomycota; Agaricomycetes; Sebacinales.